This 516-nucleotide ribosomal RNA is filed under the name uncultured fungus. RNAcentral's name for it is "SSU rRNA". It matches the Rfam family "Eukaryotic small subunit ribosomal RNA", at positions 214 to 732 of the family's 1831-position model. Lineage: Eukaryota; Fungi. The record is from RNAcentral.
AUAAAAAACCAAUGCCUUCGGGCUCCUUGGUGAUUCAUGAUAACUUAACGAAUCGCAUGGCCUUGCGCCGGCGAUGGUUCAUUCAAAUUUCUGCCCUAUCAACUUUCGAUGGUAGGAUAGUGGCCUACCAUGGUUUCAACGGGUAACGGGGAAUUAGGGUUCGAUUCCGGAGAGGGAGCCUGAGAAACGGCUACCACAUCCAAGGAAGGCAGCAGGCGCGCAAAUUACCCAAUCCCAACUCGGGGAGGUAGUGACAAUAAAUACUGAUACAGGGCUCUUUUGGGUCUUGUAAUUGGAAUGAGUACAAUUUAAAUCCCUUAACGAGGAACAAUUGGAGGGCAAGUCUGGUGCCAGCAGCCGCGGUAAUUCCAGCUCCAAUAGCGUAUAUUAAAGUUGUUGCAGUUAAAAAGCUCGUAGUUGAACCUUGGGUCUGGCUGCCCGGUCCGCCUAACCGCGUGCACUGGUGCGGCCGGAUCUUUCCUUCUGGCUAACCUCAUGCCCUUUACUGGGUGUGCU